Molecule: ribosomal RNA, 440 nt
Filed under: uncultured bacterium
Lineage: Bacteria
Description: partial 16S ribosomal RNA
Rfam family: Bacterial small subunit ribosomal RNA
Source: RNAcentral
CCUACGGGGGGCAGCAGUGGGGAAUAUUGCACAAUGGGGGAAACCCUGAUGCAGCGACGCCGCGUGAGGGAAGAAGUAUUUCGGUACGUAAAGCUCUUUCAGCAGGGAAGAAAAUGACGGUACCUGACUAAGAAGCCCCGGCCAACUACGUGACAGCAGCCGCGGUAAUACGGAGGGGGCAAGCGUUAUCCGGAUUUACUGGGUGUAAAGGGAGCGUAGUCGGGAGCGCAGGUCUGGAGUGAAAUCCUAUGGAUUAACCAUGGAACUGCUUUGGAAACUGUGCAGCUGGAGUGCAGGGGAGGUAGGCGGAAUUCCUGGUGUAGCGGUGAAAUGCGUAGAUAUUACGAGGAACACCGGUUGCGAAGGCAGCUUACUGGACUGUAACUGACGUUGAGGCUCGAAAGCGUGGGGAGCAAACAGGAUUAGAUACCCGUGUAGUC